Molecule: ribosomal RNA, 484 nt
Filed under: uncultured bacterium
Lineage: Bacteria
Description: partial 16S ribosomal RNA
Rfam family: Bacterial small subunit ribosomal RNA
Source: RNAcentral
AGUGAACGCUGGCGGCGUGCUCAACACAUGCAAGUCGAACGAGAACGGAUUAUAGCUUGCUAUAAUUGUCAGCUAAGUGGCGCACGGGUGAGUAAUGUAUAGGUAAUAUGCCUCUUACUAAGGGAUAACAAAUGGAAACGUUUGCUAAUACCUUAUACUCCUUAUUAACAGAAGUUAAUAAGGGAAAGAUUUAUUGGUAAGAGAUUAGCCUGUAUUGUAUCAGUUAGUUGGUGGGGUAAUGGCUUACCAAGACUAUGACACAUAACUGGUUUGAGAGGAUGAUCAGUCACACUGGAACGGAAACACGGUCCAGACUCCUACGGGAGGCAGCAGUGGGGAAUAUUGCACAAUGGACGAAAGUCUGAUGCAGCAACGCCGCGUGGAGGAUGACACAUUUCGGUGCGUAAACUCCUUUUAUAUGAGAAGAUAAUGACGGUAUUAUAUGAAUAAGCACCGGCUAACUCCGUGCCAGCCGCCGCGGUAA